UACGUAGGAUCCAAGCGUUAUCCGGAUUUAUUGGGUUUAAAGGGUGCGUAGGCGGGAUGCCAAGUCAGCGGUAAAAAUGCGGUGCUCAACGCCGUCGAGCCGUUGAAACUGGCGUUCUUGAGUGGGCGAGAAGUAUGCGGAAUGCGUGGUGUAGCGGUGAAAUGCAUAGAUAUCACGCAGAACUCCGAUUGCGAAGGCAGCAUACCGGCGCCCUACUGACGCUGAGGCACGAAAGCGUGGGUAUCGAACAGG
Molecule: ribosomal RNA, 252 nt
Filed under: uncultured bacterium
Lineage: Bacteria
Description: partial 16S ribosomal RNA
Rfam family: Bacterial small subunit ribosomal RNA
Source: RNAcentral